AAAGAAAAGGGUGAAAAGAACAAAGUUUUGUCCAUCUUUGUUCAUCAUAGCUGAAAGUUAGAGAAGAGAAAGGAGAGGAGAAAGCUCUUGAGUAUUUGGUCAUUAGGAGGAGGAAAAUUGAAGGCGGUUCGUGUGUGGAUCUCGUCAACAUAUCGUCGCAAACAGGAAAUCCCCAACCAUAGUGGGCUUGGAGCUGUGAGGGAAUUCGGAGUGGCCACCCGUUCUGAAAGUUUGAUUUUCUUCUGGUGAACUGGACAUCCUUUUAAUUACGUUUGUGGUUUUGGGCUUUUAAAUGUAAUAAGGCCGCUUAUUUAUUUUUGGUGGUUUUUAAUAUGUAUUAGUAAGAUAGGUAAUACUUAUUUUAA
Molecule: long non-coding RNA, 365 nt
Organism: Gossypium arboreum
Lineage: Eukaryota; Viridiplantae; Streptophyta; Magnoliopsida; Malvales; Malvaceae
Exons: 3
Source: RefSeq, a predicted model, not a curated record